RNAcentral lists this ribosomal RNA (229 nucleotides) under uncultured bacterium. RNAcentral describes it as "partial 16S ribosomal RNA". It matches the Rfam family "Bacterial small subunit ribosomal RNA", at positions 568 to 796 of the family's 1533-position model. The record is from RNAcentral.
UGCGCAGGCGGACCUAUUAGUCAGUGGUGAAAUCCCGGGGCUCAACUCCGGAACUGCCAUUGAUACUGUAGGUCUUGAGUUUGGUUGAAGUGGGCGGAAUGUAGCAUGUAGCGGUGAAAUGCAUAGAUAUGCUACAGAACACCGAUCGCGAAGGCAGCUCACUAAACCAAAACUGACGCUCAGGCACGAAAGCGUGGGUAGCGAACAGGAUUAGAUACCCUGGUAAUCC